Molecule: ribosomal RNA, 253 nt
Filed under: uncultured bacterium
Lineage: Bacteria
Description: partial 16S ribosomal RNA
Rfam family: Bacterial small subunit ribosomal RNA
Source: RNAcentral
UACGGAGGGUGCGAGCGUUGUCCGGAAUCAUUGGGCGUAAAGGGCGCGUAGGUGGCCUGGCAAGCGUGCGGUGAAAGCUCGGGGCUCAACCCCGAGUCGGCCGUGCGAACUGCUGGGCUCGAGCACUGUAGAGGCAGGCGGAAUUCCGGGUGUAGCGGUGGAAUGCGUAGAGAUCCGGAAGAACACCGGUGGCGAAGGCGGCCUGCUGGGCAGUGGCUGACACUGAGGCGCGACAGCGUGGGGAGCAAACAGG